UGUCUUCAUUACUUACUUCUUUUAUGUCACUUUCUGUAUUCUUCAGAAAUAGCAUUAAAUGGGUGCUGCAGAUCACUGAUCAAAACUAUAGUGCAGGCUAGGCACUGAUACCUGUAAAUUAUACCAGCUAAACGUUACAUAAUGGUUUUCUCAUUGUUGGAUAUUGAUAACACCUUUUAUCUCAUAUAUCCCUUAUAACUCAUUUAUCAUCUUCUGUUUGGAAACGUGUGGAGCUGUUUGUAUUUUUUUUUUUCAUUGGUGCUGAGUUAAAUGCUUUUCAUGUAUGUAUCUAAUUAAAUCUAAAAACUUGCCCUUAGCUACCAAAUUUAAUCACAUAAGGGAAUGGAAUCAGGUUUUUGGAAUGCAAGGUCUCAUUUCUUCCUGAAGGCUAAGGUUGGAAGUGCAGCAUUGGUGCAUAAAUAUGGGAAAGGAGGACUGAAACUGCUGUGACCCUUGCCUGGGGCUCCUUAGAGCUGGCUGCUUGGUAAGAGCACAGCUCCACACAGAGAAAAGGCGAAGAACAGCAGUGGCCUCUGGUGGCUACAGGCUAGUUCUGUGCUGAAAGUUGCCACGCUUGUCUCUCAGCAGCAAACUACAACCUUCAAUUCCAUGAGAUAAAAUGACAUCUGCUCACAAGAUUUCACUUGGACCCUAGGGACCGGACUCUGAAACAAAGAGACCCAACUGAAUCUGUAUCUUAAAUCAUUGCACAGGCUCAUUAUUCUAACUACUAGUCCUUAUUCUGUUCUGAUUCUGCCAUAGGAGUAUCUGUAUUUCUGGUGGGGUCUCUGAGUUAGGAUUAAGAACUGUGAAUCUUGAGUUCUGUUUCAGUUUUGAACUGAUGUAUACAGCAAAGUAAGAAGUAUAUAGUUUUUCAAGUCGAACGCAAAAAGCAGCUUUAGUUCCUAUUUUGGCAUUGCAGUAUUAUUGUUCCCAGCAUUUCUUUCAGUGUUCAGCAGUAGAACAUACAAUCAUGUUAAUUCUGUACUGCAGAAGUCUGUGUGUCUGUUCCAAAUUAGGUGAUAUUUGUCGAUGUGUAUCAGUGUUCUAAUGCUGCUGCUGCAUUACUCUCAUUCUCUACAAAACUAGCUCUGUAUAAAAGUUGAAAAGACAUCAGAUUUUGCUUCAGACCUCCAAGGAGCCUGUGGUACCAGGAGGCAAAAAUAACGCUUUUCAAUGAAGAGAAUGGAAUAGGUGUUGAAUAGCACAUGAAAGUAACUCCUUGUUAAUAAGGAAAUACAACACUAAAUCAUAUGUCCAAAAUAUUGUAUUUAACUUUACAACCACUUUCAUAUUAUUGAAGCUGUUUAAUCUCUGUGACUACCCUUUAUAUGUCUAUAUAAUAGACAUAUUUUUCACCUGCACUUUGCAGCUCCUGGAAGAAAGGCACUUAAUGCAUAGCUAAAGCUGUUGCUCUUCUUGUUGAGUGAAUCUGUUGUCUGUAUUUGCA
This 1450-nucleotide long non-coding RNA is filed under the name Anser brachyrhynchus (Pink-footed goose). RNAcentral describes it as "lncRNA (ENSABRG00000019001.1)". The record is from RNAcentral. Lineage: Eukaryota; Metazoa; Chordata; Aves; Anseriformes; Anatidae.